CCUACGGGAGGCAGCAGUGGGGAAUCUUGCGCAAUGGGCGAAAGCCUGACGCAGCAACGCCGCGUGCGGGAAGAAGGCUUUCGGGCUGUAAACCGCUUUCAGCAGGAACGAAAAUGACGGUACCUGCAGAAGAAGGAGCGGCCAACUAUGUGCCAGCAGCCGCGGUGAUACAUAGGCUUCAAGCGUUGUCCGGAUUUAUUGGGCGUAAAGAGUUCGUAGGCGGUCGAGUAAGUCGGGUGUGAAAAUUCUGGGCUCAACCCAGAGACGCCACCCGAUACUGCUUAACUUGAGUUCGAUAGGGGAGUGGGGAAUUCCUAGUGUAGCGGUGAAAUGCGCAGAUAUUAGGAGGAACACCGGUGGCGAAGGCGCCACUCUGGAUCGAUACUGACGCUGAGGAACGAAAGCAUGGGUAGCAAACAGGAUUAGAUACCCUGGUAGUCCAUGCCGUAAACGGUGGGCACUAGGUGUGGGAUUCUAUUAACGAAUUCCGCGCCGUCGCUAACGCAUUAAGUGCCCCGCCUGGGGAGUACGGUCGCAAGACUAAAACUCAAAGGAAUUGA
Molecule: ribosomal RNA, 560 nt
Filed under: uncultured bacterium
Lineage: Bacteria
Description: bacterial SSU rRNA
Rfam family: Bacterial small subunit ribosomal RNA
Source: RNAcentral